UAACUGAGCUAGCGGCGGACGGGUGAGUAAUGCUUAGGAAUCUGCCUAUUAGUGGGGGACAACAUUCCGAAAGGAAUGCUAAUACCGCAUACGCCCUACGGGGGAAAGCAGGGGAUCUUCGGACCUUGCGCUAAUAGAUGAGCCUAAGUCAGAUUAGCUAGUUGGUGGGGUAAAGGCCUACCAAGGCGACGAUCUGUAGCGGGUCUGAGAGGAUGAUCCGCCACACUGGGACUGAGACACGGCCCAGACUCCUACGGGAGGCAGCAGUGGGGAAUAUUGGACAAUGGGCGAAAGCCUGAUCCAGCCAUGCCGCGUGUGUGAAGAAGGCCUUUUGGUUGUAAAGCACUUUAAGCGAGGAGGAGGCUACCGAGAUUAAUACUCUUGGAUAGUGGACGUUACUCGCAGAAUAAGCACCGGCUAACUCUGUGCCAGCAGCCGCGGUAAUACAGAGGGUGCGAGCGUUAAUCGGAUUUACUGGGCGUAAAGCGUGCGUAGGCGGCUUCUUAAGUCGGAUGUGAAAUCCCUGAGCUUAACUUAGGAAUUGCAUUCGAUACUGGGAAGCUAGAGUAUGGGAGAGGAUGGUAGAUUCCAGGUGUAGCGGUGAAAUGCGUAGAGAUCUGGAG
This 623-nucleotide ribosomal RNA is filed under the name uncultured Pseudomonadota bacterium. Its description in RNAcentral is "bacterial SSU rRNA". It matches the Rfam family "Bacterial small subunit ribosomal RNA", at positions 84 to 703 of the family's 1533-position model. Lineage: Bacteria; Pseudomonadati; Pseudomonadota. The record is from RNAcentral.